Long non-coding RNA from Girardinichthys multiradiatus, 363 nucleotides. RefSeq lists it as uncharacterized. The record is from RefSeq and is a predicted model, not a curated record. NCBI's taxonomy places the organism in Eukaryota, Metazoa, Chordata, Actinopteri, Cyprinodontiformes, Goodeidae. The transcript has 3 exons.
AAACAAUCCACCCAGGGCUCAGAUUUCCAAAAUUGCCACAGAGGUGGGAGUGAAUUUAUGAAGCCACGUAAGGGAAACCAAUCCAGCACUUUGAACUCGUUUGACUGGUGUAAUCUUUAACCAACAGAGACGGCUUCGACAACUUGGGGGCGUCGUCCGGGAUUUGGGAAAACAGGUGAAAAUUGGGAUCACUGACAAGGACCAACAGGCUAGAAAAGCACAACACGAGUGGCACCACCCUCAAAGGUGACCAGGAGCCCAGGAAGAGUGGGAAAGAGAAGAGGGAAAAAAGCCACACAUCGCAGUCAAGAACCCUUCUGGAAUUAGGACACUUUCUCUCAAUGAGAGACAUCUCUGCAACAU